This 501-nucleotide ribosomal RNA is filed under the name uncultured bacterium. RNAcentral describes it as "bacterial SSU rRNA". It matches the Rfam family "Bacterial small subunit ribosomal RNA", at positions 29 to 526 of the family's 1533-position model. The record is from RNAcentral.
AUUGAACGCUGGCGGCAGGCCUAACACAUGCAAGUCGAGCGGUAACAGAUCCAGCUUGCUGGAUGCUGACGAGCGGCGGACGGGUGAGUAAUGCAUAGGAAUCUGCCCGAUAGUGGGGGAUAACCUGGGGAAACCCAGGCUAAUACCGCAUACGUCCUACGGGAGAAAGGGGGCUCCGGCUCCCGCUAUGGGAUGAGCCUAUGUCGGAUUAGCUAGUUGGUGAGGUAACGGCUCACCAAGGCCACGAUCCGUAGCUGGUCUGAGAGGAUGAUCAGCCACAUCGGGACUGAGACACGGCCCGAACUCCUACGGGAGGCAGCAGUGGGGAAUAUUGGACAAUGGGGGAAACCCUGAUCCAGCCAUGCCGCGUGUGUGAAGAAGGCCCUCGGGUUGUAAAGCACUUUCAGCGAGGAAGAACGCCUAGCGGUUAAUACCCGCUAGGAAAGACAUCACUCGCAGAAGAAGCACCGGCUAACUCCGUGCCAGCCGCCGCCGUAACAC